RNAcentral lists this ribosomal RNA (774 nucleotides) under uncultured Neocallimastigales. Its description in RNAcentral is "partial large subunit ribosomal RNA". It matches the Rfam family "Eukaryotic large subunit ribosomal RNA", at positions 20 to 643 of the family's 3401-position model. Lineage: Eukaryota; Fungi; Neocallimastigomycota; Neocallimastigomycetes; Neocallimastigales. The record is from RNAcentral.
UACUAGAGUAGCACUCGCAUAUCAAUAAGCGGAGGAAAAGAAACUAACAAGGAUUCCCCUAGUAACGGCGAGUGAAGCGGGAAGAGCUCAAAUUUGAAAUCUUAAAGGGUUUCCCUUUACGAAUUGUAGCUUAAAGAAGUGUUUUCUGUUGAGGUUUUGGUAAAAGUUCUUUGGAAUAGGACAUCAUAGAGGGUGAGAAUCCCGUAUUUGACCUUUACUUUCAACUUUGUGAUACACUUUCAAAGAGUCGGACUGUUUGGGAAUGCAGUCCAAAAUGGGUGGUAAAUUUCAUCUAAAGCUAAAUAUUGGCGAGAGACCGAUAGCGAACAAGUACCGUGAGGGAAAGAUGAAAAGAACUUUGAAAAGAGAGUUAAACAGUACGUGAAAUUGUCAGAAGGGAAGCGUUUGACACCAGUGUUGUUUUUCUGAAAAUCAAUUAAAGAACUGUUUAUGCUAAGUUGUUUAGACUUUAUCAGCUAACUGUUUAGUUUUGAGCUUUUCUUUAAUGCACUUUUCAGUUAACAAGUCAACAUCAAUUUCUUUUGCUGUAAAAAAGCUUGAGGAAGGUGGCUUGAGAUUCGUCUUAAGUGUUUAUAGCCUCUUGCCUAUGCAGUCGGAGAGAUUGAGGUCUGCAGCGUAGAUCCUUCGGGGCUAAAUGCAUUUGUGCUAAGUUAUAACAUUUUAUAGACAACUUGUUGACUAUGAUUUGUCUUGUAGCUUACUCGCUUAUGUUAUUUUACCUACGCUUAGGAUGUUGAUAUCGCGCUCUCACUG